CCUGCCCCUAAGGCAUUGCAGAUGUGGCUGCUGUGUCACGUGUGCAUCAGUAGGUGGCAGAGGAGACAAGCUAGGUAAACGCUUGGUGUUCUGACCUGUGGACAUUUGAAUGAUUAGAAGCCUAAACU
This is a small nucleolar RNA of Arvicanthis niloticus (Nile rat), 128 nucleotides long. RefSeq annotates it as small nucleolar RNA SNORA17. The record is from RefSeq and is a predicted model, not a curated record. Lineage: Eukaryota; Metazoa; Chordata; Mammalia; Rodentia; Muridae.